RNAcentral lists this ribosomal RNA (373 nucleotides) under uncultured bacterium. RNAcentral describes it as "bacterial SSU rRNA". It matches the Rfam family "Bacterial small subunit ribosomal RNA", at positions 523 to 898 of the family's 1533-position model. The record is from RNAcentral.
AUACGGAGGAUCCGAGCGUUAUCCGGAUUUAUUGGGUUUAAAGGGUGCGUAGGCUGUACUGUAAGUCAGCUGUGAAAAUCCCCCGCUCAACGGGGGGAGUGCAGUUGAAACUGCAGUGCUGGAGGGCACAAGAGGCAGGCGGAAUUCAUGGUGUAGCGGUGAAAUGCAUAGAUAUCAUGAAGAACUCCGAUUGCGAAAGCAGCCUGCUGGGGUGCAUCUGACGCUGAGUCACGAAAGUGCGGGUAUCAAACAGGAUUAGAUACCCUGGUAGUCCGCACGGUAAACGAUGAAUACCAGCUGCCGGCGAUAAACGGUCGGUGGCGUAGCGAAAGCGUUAAGUAUUCCACCUGGGGAGUACGCCGGCAACGGUGAA